RNAcentral lists this ribosomal RNA (418 nucleotides) under uncultured prokaryote. Its description in RNAcentral is "bacterial SSU rRNA". It matches the Rfam family "Archaeal small subunit ribosomal RNA", at positions 455 to 873 of the family's 1478-position model. The record is from RNAcentral.
GUGUCAGCCGCCGCGGUAAUACCAGCUCUCCGAGUGGUGGGGAUGAUUAUUGGGCCUAAAGCAUCCGUAGCCGGCUGGACAAGUCCCCUGUUAAAUCCAACGAUCCAAUCGUUGGUCUGCGGGGGAUACUGUCCGGCUUGGGGGCGGGAGAGGCCGCCGGUAUUUCCGGGGUAGGGGUGAAAUCCUAUAAUCCCGGGAGGACCACCAGUGGCGAAGGCUGUCGGCUAGAACGCGCCCGACGGUGAGGGAUGAAAGCUGGGGGAGCGAACCGGAUUAGAUACCCGGGUAGUCCCAGCUGUAAACGAUGCAGGCUAGGUGUUAGGGCGGCUACGUGCCGCUCUAGUGCCGCAGGGAAGCCGUUAAGCCUGCCGCCUGGGGAGUACGGUCGCAAGGCUGAAACUUAAAUGAAUUGGCGGGG